CCAAUGGCCUGGCCAAGAAUGUUGAUGUCACAAGGAAAGGGAACAGAGUUUGAUUGUGUGUCACAUAGAACUGGGAACAGACUGCUGUACUUAGAGGGACGUCCUUAUCAAUUAGGUAAUGUCUGCUAAUGAUUGAGGAGCUGUGUUAGGCAGUGCUCCAGCUGUUGAUAUGUUAGCAAACAUCUGCAAAGGGCACUCGUACCUUGUGGGAAAAACUUUUCUUAGUCUGGAUCCCACUGGUCCAAGCCCUGAAAGACUGGCAGACCCAACAGCAUCUCACAGGGCAUCUGAAACAGAGGAACAUGGCAGAAAUGUGGACUGGGCACAGGAGGCAGCUCUGCUUGGGAUGUUGGUUCCAUCUCCAGGAGAUCAACAGCGCUAUGGGAAGAGGAAGGUGUGGCCAAGGCUCUGACAUUGCUGUGGUCUUCCAGAGAAUGGGCCAUCAGCAACAUCAUCACCACUUGCCUCCGUCUGGAGGUACUAGCAGGUCCUUUGUAGUUUGAAAAUGUCCGACAGAGCAUUACAACUAAAUCUUAAGAGGACCAUCAUACAGCGAGAGACAUUUUCUUCCUGUGCAUCCAAGCAAGAAGGCCUGUUUCACAGUCUUUUAAGCUGAUUCCUGAGUCUCCUACACACGCCUGAAUCAGAUGUAUCUUGAUACAACCAACGAUCAAAAUAAUGGAAUUUCAGCCUGGAUGGGUUACACUAGCAACACCAGGGAGACAGAAGUGUCAGGAAAACAAAGACAGGAAAGUUUAUACGUGGGACGCCUACCACAGCAUGGCUGCCAAGCAGUGCCAUGUCCGCACCCGGGAUCCGAAGCAGCGAACCCCGGGCCGCCGAGAAGUGGAACGUGCGAACUUAACCGCUGCGCCACCGGGCCGGCCCCAUGGAUCACGCAAUUAUUAAGUGGAGGAUAUGGGAUUCGAACCCAGGCAUGUCUGGUUUACUCCAUCUGCAGGGAGCUUGCCAUCAUUUGACACUGUUUCGGCACAGCCUGAGCACCCUCCAAGUGGGCCGCUCUGGGAAAGCCACUUCCAGUUGGUGAAGUUGGCACGAGUGAUAAAACUUAUUUGACUUCUUGGCCUUCAUCAAAUUCCUUUCUUUGCAGAUGAAGAAACUGGGCCAAAGAGAGCUCUGUGAAAUGACUUGCCCAAGGUCACACAGGCAGUUUGUCCUGUGUGAGCCAAGACUGUUCAAAUUCUUGGUCCGUCUCACUGCAUGAAAACCCCUCAUCCUCCAAUCACUGGCCCCCACAACAACUUCGUUCCUCGGGCCUGAUCAGCUUGGGGUUUUUAGUAGCCUAAAGCCGUUAGGAUAAUUUCUUCUCUCUAAAUCACAGCCUGAUAGAAGUUGAAGGACGCACUUCCUGGGGCUGAAAGGUCUUGGGGAGGAAUGAGCGAGGCUAAUAUUACCCCCACUGCCUUUGGAUCUCUUCUAAAGACCCAGAUGCCACAUUACCUGUAACUCAAGUACUUAUAAAUUGGCUUCCCCCUAAUUUGACUUUUCUGAGGAAUCUCUGGAGACUUAACUCAUGUGGAAAAGUUCUUGAGAAUUUUCAGAGGGGGGCAGUCCAACUGCUUGUGCCCUAAACCAAUAUAAGCACAAACCCAGGGUGAGAUUAUUUUCCUUACGGUUGAGAAUUAGAAACUGCUCCAGUGAGAGGGGACUUUUAAGAGGCCCAAGGAGGGAAGUGAGUUACCCGAGGUCACAGAGUAGGUCUGUGGCAAUUAAGGGCUCAAGAGCCAGACUGCCUGGGUCCAACCUUAGGACACCUCCUUAUUGGCUGUGUGACAUUGGGCAGGGUAGCUACUGUCUCCCCAGGCCUUGGUUUCCCCAUCUGUAUUGGAAGUAAUGUAUGGUGGAUUAGAGAGGUCUACAAAUUCUUUGAUACUUUUCUACUCAAGAGAUGCCACCUAUUUCCCCUCUCUUUAAAUCUGAGUUGGCUUGUGAUUGUUUUUUGUUUUGAAGAAGAAGAUUAGCCCUGAGCUAACAUCCACCACCAAUCUUCCUCUUUUUGCUGAGGAAGAUUGGCCCUGAGCUAACACCCAAGCUCUAACAUCCAUGUUAGCUCAUCUAGAUAGAGCUAACAUCUUCCUCUAUUUUAUAUGUGGGACGCCUGCCAAAGCAUGGCUUGAUAAGCAGUGCAUAGGGCUGUGCCCAGGAUCCAAACCAGCAAACCCCUGCGCUGCUGAAAUGGAGUGUGCAAACUUAACCACUACGCCACUGGGCUGGCCCUGGCUUGUGAUUGUUUUGACCAAUAAAGUCUAGUGAAGUGUGAUAUGCCAGUUCUAGGUCUAGUCUUUAAAAGGAUUGUCAGGUUCUGCCUUGGGCUUAUGGAGCCCAAGACUGCCACAAAAGAGGCCACCAUGCUACGAGGAAGCCCAAGCCAGCCAUUUGAAGAGGCUGUGUGUUUGGGAAGAGGCCCAGGCAGCCUUUGGCUAUACCACCCCAAGCCUCUGGAGUCAUCUUAACUGAAGUCCAGACAUUAUUAAGCAGAGAUCAACACCACCUCUGUGCCUUGUCCAAAUUCCUGACUCACAGAAUCAGGAGAUAUAUUAACACUAAAUUGCCAUUUUCAACCACUAAGGGUAGUUUGUUAUACAGCAACAGAUAACCAGAACAGUGGUUCUCAGAGGGUUGUUGUGAGAAUUAUGAGUUGAUACACCCGUAAAAGUUUAGGGCAGUGCCUGGCACAGUUAGUGUUCAAUAAAAGUGAGUUACUACUCAUUCCACAAACAUUUAUUAUAUACCAAGUUGGUCUACACCCUGCACUAGCUGGGAGGGAUGCAGGGCUGAAUGGGAGCCAAACAAUUGGGCCUUUGUGGAAAUUAGGAUUAACUAGAACCUGGUCACAUACUUCAGUUAAGUAAGAAAUGUAUUUCCCCCACUCUGGGCCACCACAUUGUCUCUGUGUCUGGGGGAAGUAGAAGUCUCCAGCCUCGCACAGAAGGGAGCCGCCUGCCUGGACUCUGGGCAGGCCUGGAGGGGUUAAGUCCAUGGAUGUUGUCCCAUCGCUACGCUACUACAGCUGAAAAUUCAGCAGCUAUUGAUUCCCGGUAAGCACUGAUGCCCUUCCCAGGUCAGAAAAGAAACCCAAACCAUUGUUGAGUAAAUACAGUAUUCUGUUCACUACAUCAAUUAGGCUGACCCUAGGGGCUCUGGGAGCCCCUUCCUCCCCCAUUUGCAAUGACAGCUGCCAUGCUAAUGAAACCACAUUGACAUGAUAAUUAAACCAUUACACAAAGAGGGGGUUUCCUAGUGCUGCAGCUUUAGCAGAGGCACUGGGGUGGCCACGGGCUAGACUGGAUGAGGCCUGGGGGUUGGUUCAGGGCCAUGAGGUGACAUGCAGUGCCUGGGUCAUUCCCAGACUUGGCCCCAGGGGCAGCUGGGCUGGGGCACUGCAGCUGCUGCCUCUGGCGCUGGUGGCUGGGGUAGGGCAGGCCGGGCCAGGGUGAGAACACUGACUAAACGCUGCUCUCGAUCUCUCUUGAUCCCUGCGAAAUCUUUAAUUGGGUGAUACCUGAAAGAAAUCCCCUACCGCUUCCUGGAGGGGGUGGGGUACCCUGUCAACUCCUGACU
RNAcentral lists this long non-coding RNA (3582 nucleotides) under Equus caballus (horse). RNAcentral's name for it is "lncRNA (ENSECAG00000058249.1)". The record is from RNAcentral. Lineage: Eukaryota; Metazoa; Chordata; Mammalia; Perissodactyla; Equidae.